UAAAAUUCUUAUCCUUAACUAAUUUAUCGUAUUUAUGGAGGUGAGAUUGAUUGGUUAGUUUUAGCUCUUUAUUCUUAAGAUUUAUUGUCUUAUAUUCUUCCAUUAAUUCAUUAAACGCAUCAUACAAUUCAUCAAAGGUAAAAUCUAAAUACGUUUCAGAUGUUACCUCAUUUUCGUUUGCCAUAAAACAGAGGUUGGCCUUUUCCUCUUGUUCCUCAUCCGAUGAUGAUGAUGAUGAAUCGGAAUCCGAUAGGGUGGAGACGAGGACUUUCUUUUUCUUAUA
RNAcentral lists this long non-coding RNA (283 nucleotides) under Phoenix dactylifera (date palm). RNAcentral describes it as "long non-coding RNA (PDAC_LNC012269)". Lineage: Eukaryota; Viridiplantae; Streptophyta; Magnoliopsida; Arecales; Arecaceae. The record is from RNAcentral.